RNAcentral lists this ribosomal RNA (270 nucleotides) under uncultured prokaryote. RNAcentral describes it as "partial 16S ribosomal RNA". It matches the Rfam family "Bacterial small subunit ribosomal RNA", at positions 524 to 792 of the family's 1533-position model. The record is from RNAcentral.
UACGUAGGGUGCGAGCGUUGUCCGGAAUUACUGGGCGUAAAGAACUCGUAGGUGGUUUGUCACGUCGUCUGUGAAAUUCCGGGGCUUAACCUCGGGCGUGCAGGCGAUACGGGCAAUACUUGAGUGCUGUAGGGGAGACUGGAAUUCCUGGUGUAGCGGUGAAAUGCGCAGAUAUCAGGAGGAACACCAAUGGCGAAGGCAGGUCUCUGGGCAGUUACUGACGCUGAGGAGCGAAAGCAUGGGUAGCGAACAGGAUUAGAUACCCGGGUA